This 204-nucleotide long non-coding RNA is filed under the name Elaeis guineensis (African oil palm). RNAcentral's name for it is "long non-coding RNA (EGUI_LNC072874)". Lineage: Eukaryota; Viridiplantae; Streptophyta; Magnoliopsida; Arecales; Arecaceae. The record is from RNAcentral.
GCGCCCCUCUUCAAAUUUGAAGCAUGUUGAACAAACACGUGGCUCUCUCUCAAUCUUCUAAAGCCUAACAUGUCAAAUAAAGACUUCUCCAUUGAGAAGCCUCUAUUUUAAUAUAUAUAUAUAUAUAUAUAUAUAUAUAUAAUAUAUUAGAUUUGUGAGAUCUUUAUUCCUUUGUCAAACAAAUGUUGUUUGAUCACCCAAACC